CAGUCGCCGCGGUAAUACCGAGGGUGCGAGCGUUAAUCGGAAUUACUGGGCGUAAAGCGUGCGUAGGCGGCUUGUUAAGUCGGAUGUGAAAUCCCUGAGCUUAACUUAGGAAUUGCAUUCGAUACUGGGAAGCUAGAGUAUGGGAGAGGAUGGUAGAAUUCCAGGUGUAGCGGUGAAAUGCGUAGAGAUCUGGAGGAAUACCGAUGGCGAAGGCAGCCAUCUGGCCUAAUACUGACGCUGAGGUACGAAAGCAUGGGGAGCAAACAGGAUUAGAUACCCCUGUAGUCCCUGUCUCUUAUAC
This 301-nucleotide ribosomal RNA is filed under the name uncultured bacterium. RNAcentral's name for it is "partial 16S ribosomal RNA". It matches the Rfam family "Bacterial small subunit ribosomal RNA", at positions 509 to 807 of the family's 1533-position model. The record is from RNAcentral.